Molecule: non-coding RNA, 222 nt
Organism: Camellia sinensis
Lineage: Eukaryota; Viridiplantae; Streptophyta; Magnoliopsida; Ericales; Theaceae
Source: RefSeq, a predicted model, not a curated record
CUGGAAUUUCUUUUGUAAAGUGCUUUGAAAAUUUAUGAAACUACCCAAAGGAGGAGGAGGACCAAUCCAGUUUGGAAAGUAGUUCAGUCCCCGCAACAACCUACAAACGUGGAAUGUGGGUUUUAUGUAAUGCGGUAUAUGAAAGACCUCAUUAGAGAUCAAAGUAUCCUAAGAAAACAAAAUUUCAAUGGAAAAAAGACUUACACGGAAACCGAACUUGAU